This 378-nucleotide ribosomal RNA is filed under the name uncultured bacterium. RNAcentral's name for it is "bacterial SSU rRNA". It matches the Rfam family "Bacterial small subunit ribosomal RNA", at positions 521 to 896 of the family's 1533-position model. The record is from RNAcentral.
UAAUACGAAGGGAGCAAGCGUUAUUCGGAAUUACUGGGCGUAAAGGGUGCGUAGGCGGUUUGUUAAGUCAGUUGUUAAAGCCCAUGGCUUACCCAUGGAUAGGCAAUUGAUACUGGCGAACUUGAGGGCAAGAGAGAGGAGUGGAAUUCUCGGAGUAGCGGUAAAAUGCGUAGAUCUCGAGAGGAACACCGAUGGCGAAGGCAGCUCUUUGGCUUGUCCCUGACGCUGAGGCACGAAAGCGUGGGGAGCAAACAGGAUUAGAUACCCUGGUAGUCCACGCCGUAAACGAUGAUCACUAGAUGUUGGUUUCGCCUAGCGAGAUCAGUGUUAAAGCUAACGCGUUAAGUGAUCCGCCUGGGGAGUACGGUCGCAAGAUUA